Molecule: long non-coding RNA, 421 nt
Filed under: Malus domestica (apple)
Lineage: Eukaryota; Viridiplantae; Streptophyta; Magnoliopsida; Rosales; Rosaceae
Description: long non-coding RNA (MDOM_LNC014990)
Source: RNAcentral
GGAGUAGUAGGAUUGCUAGCUAAACCCUCCAAGGAGGCCGGCCACUUUAGAGAGAAAGAAGAGCUUAUGUUCUCAUCCUUUCCCCAAAAGAAAACCCUAAAUGAAUUUUGGCUAUAAAGUCAUAUUUAUACCUUUAUACAUUGGAGUGGCAAACUUGUAAUUAAGUCCAAAACCCACUCCUUUAACAAAAUGGCCAGCCAUAGGGUUUCAUUGGGCUUUUAAGGCCUUUGUGAAUUAUUUGUCAUUAAGUUGUCAUACAACUUAAGUCAAUGGGCUUGACGUUCGAAGCCCAUUGGGCCUUGAGGCCCAAAACUAUCCCGAGGUCUUUAACGAACUUAUUUGUUUGAUUAAUUAACUUAUUAAUUAAUCCUUGCCAUAAAUAAUUAAACCAUUUAAUUAUUCUUACUCAUCUCCAUUGUUU